RNAcentral lists this ribosomal RNA (951 nucleotides) under Triticum aestivum (bread wheat). Its description in RNAcentral is "partial small subunit ribosomal RNA". The record is from RNAcentral. Lineage: Eukaryota; Viridiplantae; Streptophyta; Magnoliopsida; Poales; Poaceae.
AUGCCAGGAGGAGAUGAGCCAGUGUUGGGAGGUUGGGAGGCGUUUGCAGGUGCAGGCAGAGGGUUCGCGGGUAGGGUAGGCAUGGGACGGAACGGUGGUGCUGCUGGGCGAGCGAUCGGAGGUGGGGGAGGGAAUGGUGUUGGAGCCAGGGGAGCUGCAGCCGUGGGUGCAGGCGUAGGAGGACAGUUCCAGUUCCAAGUAGGAGGGAACGGUGGCGGAGGCGGAGGAGCGUUUGUAGGCGCAGCAGCCGUACGACAGUUCCCGGUGGGCGGGUACGGCGGCGGAGCUAGGGCAGCGGCAGGCGGAGGAGCGUUUGUAGGCGCGGGCGGACGACAAUUCCCGGUGGGCGGGUACGGUGGCGGAGCUAGGGCAGCGGCAGGCGGAGGAGCUUUUGUAGGCGCGGGCGGACGACAGUUCCCGGCGGGAGGAAACGGUGGUGGAGGCAGGGGAGCGUAUGGAGGUGCCGCCGGAGGACCGAUCCCAGCGGGAUGGUUGUACGGUGGUGGAGUCCCGGGAGCUGCAGUCUUGGGAGAGUUUCGAGGGUUCAGAAGGAACGACGAUGUUCUGUCAGAUGAUCUACCGUGGCAUUAUGAAAGGCCCGGAGAAUUUUGGCGACGUCGGCUGCUGGAGUCCACCACUCAGGCGACGACUGGGUCUGGGACCGGCAGCAGACCAACCUCUACUACGACGAAUUCACAAUCUUUUUCUGCAGCUCAGGCGACGAAUUCGCAAUCUUUUUCUGCAGCUCAGGCGACGAAUUCACAAUCACAAACAAGCGCGAAUUAUGACAGCAUGCACCCCCAUAGGCAGCUGGGAUCCCAAACUUCACAAUGGAGUCAACAGGCACAGCACCACCCCAGCCCACCUCCGCAGCAGCAGACACCACGGCGUCGACAACGUGACAACCAUGUCGUGAACCGGGAGCUAAAUGUUGCGCGUGGCCGACGAUAA